UCUUACUCUUACAGGGUGCUUACCACCACGAUGCAGGUGGAGAAGCUCGUCUCCAAGGCGUCCAGCAGGCGGCUCUGUGGCGAGAACAACACCGAUACUCUACGGACGAGUAUAUGGGAGACUUACACCAAGAACUUGCGAAAUGGGACGUCACCACG
Long non-coding RNA from Homarus americanus (American lobster), 158 nucleotides. RefSeq lists it as uncharacterized. The record is from RefSeq and is a predicted model, not a curated record. Lineage: Eukaryota; Metazoa; Arthropoda; Malacostraca; Decapoda; Nephropidae. The transcript is spliced from 3 exons.